AUGUCUGGAAGCUGUGGUCCAAGGCCAUUUUUGCUGGCUAUAAGCAGGGUCUCCGGAACAGAGAGCACACAACUUUCCUUAAAAUUGACGGUGUUUAUGCCCGAGAUGAAACAGAAUUCUAUUUGGGCAAGAGAUGUGCUUAUGUAUACAAAGCAAAGAACAACAAAGUGACUCCUGGCGGCAAUCAAACAAAACCAGAGUAAUCUGGGGAAAGGUAACUCUGGCCCACAGAAACAGUGGCAUGGCUUGUGCCAAAUUCCGAAGCAAUCUUCCUGCUAAGGCUAUUGGACACAGAAUCCAAGUGAUGCUGUACCCUCAUGCUGUACCCCUCAAGGAUUUAA
RNAcentral lists this long non-coding RNA (341 nucleotides) under Homo sapiens (human). RNAcentral describes it as "non-protein coding lnc-NUFIP2-2:1". Lineage: Eukaryota; Metazoa; Chordata; Mammalia; Primates; Hominidae. The record is from RNAcentral.